RNAcentral lists this long non-coding RNA (1590 nucleotides) under Olea europaea subsp. europaea. The record is from RNAcentral. Lineage: Eukaryota; Viridiplantae; Streptophyta; Magnoliopsida; Lamiales; Oleaceae.
AAAAAAAUUGUUUGCCACAUUUUUUGGAUCACUCUUUGAGUUGAUCAAAUAAAUAUGUGUAAUACUCCACAUAUUUAUAAUACAAGAAUCCAUAACGUAUUAGGAGAAUUAAUACAAACAAGGGUCUAACAUAAGGUGGAGUCCUAUUACAAUAGGUAAAAUCAAUAGUGAAGUAUUUGAGUUGAAAUAGAGAGAAAAAUGCUAAAAUUUCGAACCCUUCUCUUUAUUCGUUUUGAACCCCUUCAAGACAUCUUUAAGUCUACCAUCAACUCCUAAUAGUCCAACAAUAUUUUCACUCAUAUACUCAAUAAGAAUUCUGGUCAUAAAUCAAUUCUAACAAACUCCACCUUGACAUGAAUUUUACUACAAGAAAUAAAAUUAACUCUUCAAUAUACUCCAAAAAAACCUCCAAACAGAACACUCUAAACAAAAACUCUUUACCUCUUCCAUAGAGUCCCAAGGGCAAAUUCAAUGAUUGUGAACUGAAUCCAAGCACUACUCACCAGCAUAAUUAUCUUCGGCAUCAAAUUUGCUUAAAUAACCGCAAACAACAAAAUCUUGAAGUUCGCAAUUGACUCCAUUUAAGUUACCAAGUUUGCUCGAAUUAUAAUCACUAGCAACAAGAUCACACUAUUACAAAAUCAACUUUUUGCAACAUUCAGAAAAUGUUGUCGAAGACUUUUUGCAACAUUCUACAGUAUGUUGUAAAUCUUGAUGUUGCCGUAGAGUAGAAAAAUACGACAACGUUUUUUGAACGUUGCAAAAAACUAUUUCGCAACGUUUCUCGACUGUUGCUAAUAAUAUUUUUGCAACUUCUUUUAAACAUUGCAAAAAACCAUUUUCGCAACGUUUUAUGACUGUUGCUAAUAAUGUUUUCACAACGUUUCUUGAUUGUUGCAAAAACUCCUUUGGCAACGUUUUAUGACUGUUGCUAAAAAUCCCUUUGCAACGUUUUUAAAGUGUUACUAAUAAUGUUUUUGCAAUAUUUUUAAAGUGUCGUUGAUAAUCAUUUUUGGUUGUAAGAUGUAAUAUCUUUUGAAGCAUGCCCACUUUUGUAUAGGUCAAUAUUUUUUAUGUUGUUUGAAUCAGGAAAUGAGCAAUUGUCACAGCCUUCAUUGUAUGUUAUGCUCUCACAUCUUUCAUUGCUGGUUAUGUUAGCGAUGGCAUGUAAUCCCGCAAUGGCUUAGUUUUGGCAUAAUGUAGAUUAUGUGAAGGCUUACUAUGCUGAUUUGUUGCUUCAAAAUUUGUAUAUCUUCAAAGUUUUGGUUUGGUUUGAUUCUUUUGGAUAAAGUGCAUGUGUGGUCAUUAGGAAAUGAUUAGAAGGUUCAUGUAAUAUUUUCAAGGAGCUCUGCUUGAUUUUAAACAGGACAUGAUUAAUCUCAUUUUCAUGCCCUAUCAAAAAGGUAUACCGGUUAAUAUAAAAGCAGGUGAAUUAAUUUUCAUAUUUUACUAUAGAAUUUUUAAAUUUUUUAAAAAUAUAUUGGUUAAUAUAAAAUCAGGUGAAUUAAUUAAAAAUAAGUUUAAAAACGUUGCAAAUUAAUUGGAGAAAUGACAAUAUUCAAAAAAACGUUGAAAAUAAUCUCAAGACAA